UACGUAGGGGGCAAGCGUUGUCCGGAUUUAUUGGGCGUAAAGAGCGUGUAGGCGGCUGUGCAAGUCCGUUGUGAAAACUCGAGGCUCAACCUCGAGACGCCGGUGGAAACUGCAAAGCUAGAGUCCGGAAGAGGAGAGUGGAAUUCCUGGUGUAGCGGUGAAAUGCGCAGAUAUCAGGAAGAACACCCGUGGCGAAGGCGGCUCUCUGGGACGGUACUGACGCUGAGACGCGAAAGCGUGGGGAGCGAACAGG
RNAcentral lists this ribosomal RNA (253 nucleotides) under uncultured bacterium. RNAcentral's name for it is "partial 16S ribosomal RNA". It matches the Rfam family "Bacterial small subunit ribosomal RNA", at positions 524 to 776 of the family's 1533-position model. The record is from RNAcentral.